This is a long non-coding RNA of Erinaceus europaeus (western European hedgehog), 334 nucleotides long. RefSeq lists it as uncharacterized. The record is from RefSeq and is a predicted model, not a curated record. Lineage: Eukaryota; Metazoa; Chordata; Mammalia; Eulipotyphla; Erinaceidae. The transcript is spliced from 3 exons.
CUGUUACAGAGAAAGUCACUUGGUGUAAAACAGAAAAGGUAGAGUCAGAUCUGCAGUAGCAAAUGGAAUACACAUGAAGAAAAACAAAAAGAGCACUUGGAAUACUGGAGUCGUCAUGAAGCCACCAGGUUCCAGAUGCCAGCAAUAUGCUGAAUAGACUUCCCUGGACAGACGACCCCAUCAAUGUGUACUGGAUCUCCACUUCCUCAGAGACCCACCCUACUAGGGAAAGAGAGAGGCAGACUGGGAGUAUGGAUCGACCAGUCAACGCCCAUGUUCAGCGGGGAAGCAAUUACAGAAGCCAGACCUUCCACCCUCUGCAGCCCACAAUGAC